AGAGUUUGAUCAUGGCUCAGGACGAACGCUGGCGGCGUGCUUAACACAUGCAAGUCGAACGAAAAGACGGAAAGAGCUUGCUCUUUUCAGAAUUGAGUGGCAAACGGGUGAGUAACACGUAAACAACCUGCCUUCAGGAUGGGGACAACAGACGGAAACGACUGCUAAUACCGAAUAAGUUCCAAGGGCCGCAUGGCCCAUGGAAGAAAAGGUGCCUCUACCUGUAAGCUAUCGCCUGAAGAGGGGUUUGCGUCUGAUUAGCUGGUUGGAGGGGUAACGGCCCACCAAGGCGACGAUCAGUAGCCGGUCUGAGAGGAUGAACGGCCACACUGGAACUGAGACACGGUCCAGACUCCUACGGGAGGCAGCAGUGGGGAAUCUUCCGCAAUGGGCGAAAGCCUGACGGAGCAACGCCGCGUGAGUGAUGACGGCCUUCGGGUUGUAAAACUCUGUGAUCCGGGACGAAAAGGCAGAGUGCGAAGAACAAACUGCAUUGACGGUACCGGAAAAGCAAGCCACGGCUAACUACGUGCCAGCAGCCGCGGUAAUACGUAGGUGGCAAGCGUUGUCCGGAAUUAUUGGGCGUAAAGCGCGCGCAGGCGGCUUCCCAAGUCCCUCUUAAAAGUGCGGGGCUUAACCCCGUGAUGGGAAGGAAACUGGGAAGCUGGAGUAUCGGAGAGGAAAGUGGAAUUCCUAGUGUAGCGGUGAAAUGCGUAGAGAUUAGGAAGAACACCGGUGGCGAAGGCGACUUUCUGGACGAAAACUGACGCUGAGGCGCGAAAGCGUGGGGAGCAAACAGGAUUAGAUACCCUGGUAGU
This 818-nucleotide ribosomal RNA is filed under the name uncultured bacterium. RNAcentral describes it as "bacterial SSU rRNA". It matches the Rfam family "Bacterial small subunit ribosomal RNA", at positions 8 to 794 of the family's 1533-position model. The record is from RNAcentral.